AUCAGUACUACGGUCUGUUGCGAUUGUUAAAAAUUUGCAUUUUUUCUUAUUUUAUACCUGUUAAAUCAAAACUCCCGUACGGAUUGUCAACUUAAUAAACUUCAGAAAUAGCAACUAAUUUGCGACAGGUCAACAUUAACAAAAGAAAUGAAGAAACAAUCAAGUCUUGAUAUCACACACACGAUUUUAUGAUUAGAGGAUUUUCUAUAUUUA
Long non-coding RNA from Neodiprion virginianus, 213 nucleotides. RefSeq lists it as uncharacterized. The record is from RefSeq and is a predicted model, not a curated record. The transcript has 2 exons. NCBI's taxonomy places the organism in Eukaryota, Metazoa, Arthropoda, Insecta, Hymenoptera, Diprionidae.